GUGGGGAAUAUUGGACAAUGGGCGGAAGCCUGAUCCAGCCAUGCCGCGUGUGUGAAGAAGGUCUUCGGAUUGUAAAGCACUUUAAGUUGGGAGGAAGGGCAGUAAGCUAAUACCUUGCUGUUUUGACGUUACCGACAGAAUAAGCACCGGCUAACUUCGUGCCUGCAGCCGCGGUAAUACGAAGGGUGCAAGCGUUAAUCGGAAUUACUGGGCGUAAAGCGCGCGUAGGUGGUUUUGUAAGUUGGAGGUGAAAUCCCCGGGCUCAACCUGGGAACUGCCUCCAAAACUGCAUGACUAGAGUACGGUAGAGGGUAGUGGAAUUUCCUGUGUAGCGGUGAAAUGCGUAGAUAUAGGAAGGAACACCAGUGGCGAAGGCGACUACCUGGACUGAUACUGACACUGAGGUGCGAAAGCGUGGGGAGCAAACAGGAUUAGAAACCCGUGUAGUCC
Molecule: ribosomal RNA, 450 nt
Filed under: uncultured bacterium
Lineage: Bacteria
Description: partial 16S ribosomal RNA
Rfam family: Bacterial small subunit ribosomal RNA
Source: RNAcentral